RNAcentral lists this ribosomal RNA (253 nucleotides) under uncultured bacterium. RNAcentral describes it as "partial 16S ribosomal RNA". It matches the Rfam family "Bacterial small subunit ribosomal RNA", at positions 524 to 776 of the family's 1533-position model. The record is from RNAcentral.
UACGUAGGGAGCAAGCGUUGUCCGGAAUCAUUGGGCGUAAAGCGCGCGUAGGCGGCCUCAUAAGUCCGUUGUGAAAGUCAAAGGCUCAACCUUUGAAAGCCGAUGGAUACUGUGAGGCUAGAGUUCGGAAGAGGCGAGUGGAAUUCCUGGUGUAGCGGUGAAAUGCGCAGAUAUCGGGAGGAACACCAAUGGCGAAGGCAGCUCGCUGGGACGGUACUGACGCUGAGACGCGAAAGCGUGGGGAGCAAACGGG